ACAGUCAUGAGUCAUGUUGUCGGUUGGUCGGGUAGAGUGUAGAGAUGCUAGAGAAAGCAAAAAGCAUGCAUGAUAGAUUGAUAGCUAUGAUAGUAAUUUGAAAACAGAAAUCAUGUGGUUAUUACUUUUUAGUUUUUAGUCAUUGAUUCUGUGUGGGAUGCACUGCUGAAAGCUGAAUGCAGAUGCGUAUAGAACUAAAGUGUAAAUUACGGUGACCUGCACUAAGAAUGUUGCUUAAAAACAUUUUUCAUCAUGCAUCAAGAGAAAACGAUUGAAUACCCGUCAUGACAGUCAGCCUCCGAAUUAUUUGCUCUCCUGCCCUCAAGCCACAUCGAACCCACAUUGCUUCUCCUUGGCACCGAAACGGAAAGGCGAACAUCUGCUGAGCAUCAUAGGCAACGCCGGAAUAUUCCGGUGGAGCGUGAGGAAAAUCUUCUUCUGAGAUUGUCUACGACAGUGAUGACCUCAUCUUUUGUUUCCUCGAACUCAGCACCAUUCCGUUCCUCUUCUUCGUCUACCACAAUAAGACGCUGCUCAACGUCAUCCACUCACCAGGUACAUCUUCGAGGACGACUUUUUUUUAUUGAAGUGGAUCCUGUUCAUCCGACGAUAUUACAUGUACCAACAGUUCUGCUAAUUCGUUCGUGAGCCGAAUUGAAGGAGGAGAGAGUAGUGGUGGUGAAGUCGAGAAAUAAGAGCCUGCGAUUCUCUCAUCAUGUGCAUAGCCACAACUCCAAACAAGGCCCACGUAACGGUGACUACAUCGGUAACAUUCUGCGCGCAUCAUCCAGCAAGGAGUUGAUAUUAGGAGCUCGAGGGAUUUACGACAUAUUCUUCUUCUUCGAGGUCAUCAUCGCCCUUGACCUUAUUUUCGGUGUCAUCGUUCGCUAUGAGGAGUGAGAAACAACAAAAGGAGGAAAUUUUCCGACAAUAAAGCCGUCAGGUUCGAGGAUCACAUCCGCUACGAGCACAACAUGUAGCGCCAUCUUUUCUCCGAUCCUACAGAAUUCACUGAAACCGAUAACAAUUUCGACGCCCAGGUUUAAGAAUUGUUUCCACGAUUACGGACGACCUCAUUAGCAGCCGACGAUGAACAGUCCUAACAAAACGAAAUACCUGCACUUCAGGUUCAACUUGAAAAUCAUUCUAACUGGUUGUCCGUUUGUAUCUACAUUUGGUGCAGGUGAAUAAAAAAGAUAAUUGCACUUUUGUUGCGAGUGGAUUUAUCCCCUGCCACCUCUACCGUUGUUGUUAAAAUAUUCCCUUUGUAGGAAACCAAAAAUGUUGUACAUUCAGGGUUUCCCAUCUCAUACCGGUCUACUACAGCAGUAGUCAAUGUUCGAGUACAGCGGCGUACAAGAUUGUCCAUGCCUUACGAUGAUUAUCGAUCUAACUCCCCCUGAACUGUUUGUCUCAAGUCUUUCCUCUUAAAUGCGACAGCACAUGAGUGUUAGUAGAUGUGUGAGUAACAGUUAAUAGUAUGUGUGUAAAGUUAGUACGUACAUUAGGGUUAUAUUAUACAGUCAUGGGAAACAGUGGGAGACGAUAUGGAGGGAGUAGUAAUCAAACCCGGGGCCAUUGGAGUUAACACUAGGUGCCAUAACCAUUUUACCAUGGUCGCACAUCCGGUAUGAACCAUAUCCGGAAGUUGAUUAUAUCCUUAAGUAUAUACGGCUGAGAUAGUUAUGAAAUAUUGGAUAUUGGAAUUAAUGUUAAUAGCAUAUUGGUUAUAGUUUCCAACUGCCACGCAGGGGUCUCGUGUUUUAUGCUUCGAUUCUCGAAAUGUUUUCGUGUACGUCAGAUUGUAAUGUGUUAUAGAUGUUAAGUUCACUGAAUCACUUAAGGAAGACAGAUAUUAAUUUUGUUAAUACGGUAUAAUUUUUUAAAUUUUUAUUAAAGUAUGUUAAUGUUUGCAUUUUACAUGCGGCCGCUGCAAAUUCUUCAAAGAACUAAACAAUUAAUUGAGAUGGAUACCUGAUGCCUGAUGGAUACCUGAUGACAGGCCGGCAAUUAAACUGGAAGUCGGCAACGAAAAUUAAUUAUCGAGAUCAACAGAAACAAAUGCAAUUGUGUGAAAUUAUAAAGGCUAAGAUGAAGAUGAGCUGUAGUCGCGAGCUGUAUCUUGUAUCCAUUCUUCUCACAGAGCUGUGUCGACUGCUGUGACUUCCACGAGUGGUCAGCUAUCAAUUCCAAGUAGCUCAUCAAGAAAAAUCAUUCAGAUCAGAUAAAUGUAUAUCAUCAUCAGUCCAAUUAGAAAAUUUAAUUGACGACCGAUGGCAAAGUUCAUCGGUUCGCGCUGAAAGAAUUUAUACGGAAUAAUCUCAAACUCGUCUACCAAUUUCUGAGCUCUUCUAUGACCCAACCCCAACGACAUAUAUACUCCGCUGUGUCAACCGCUGUGUGGUUUUUGCUUGACUGUUUGGUUGGUUCUAAGGUUUAUUCACGGGCACCCCAUCACCUUUCACGUGCUGGUUGAAAUAACACGUAAUGAAUCUGCUUGACCAUCCAUUUCUUGCAACUGGCAGACCAACCAAUGGCUGCACUGCAAAUUUGCCUAGCUCUUCAUUAAUGCCUGACUGAAAUUGUCUCUGUCAUCAUCCAUAAGUUCCUUAGCCUGCCGUCCAGUCCGGAAUACGAAAUCGAAUUACAACUGGUUAUUAGUUUGGAACCGGUGAAAUAUGUUGUUUUCAAAUUUAAAAAAAGUCAUCGAGGAGAUCAUCCGUCAACGUCAAUUCUUAUUUGCCAACCAACAGUGCCUGAAGAGUUGAUCCCGAGACCACUGUUUCAUGUCCCUUGACACGAACGAUACGAAUUACGUGUAACCUAAAAGUGAGCGAAGAUGAUUGACGAGAGUGGCGCCAUACGGAAGCGGCUCACCUCUGGAAGAUGUUUAGCGAAGAUGAAGUGGAAGCAAAAUGCAGUCAAUUCCGUAUAUCCUCCACUACCGAAUCAGUACCUCUGCUCACAGUCUGAUUGAAUUGUUGACGAGUAUGGUUAAUCGGUCCAUUCAUCUAAUUGGCCUAGUAAAAUGAAAUCCUGAUGGAUUUGGUAGUAAAUUGUUGGUUAUGAGCAUGGUUAAUUGGUCAUGAGUAUGACAGGGGCUUGGCCGCUUGGGGCACUGAAGAGGACAUCUGGUGGCCAGGUUUGUCUUCAGUUGUUGGAUCUUCUCCUUCUUCUUCGUUUCGUUCAUUGUUAGUUGGAGCGGUUGGAGCGUGGCUUUUGAGAGAAAGCCAAAGGGACGCCAUUUUCGUCUUUAUGGGAGGUUUUGAUCAUUUUGAUGUAAGCUUAAAUAGCUGUAUUGCUUGGCAGAUGCCAAAUUGAUUUCUUAGAAUUUACGAUGUGUGCCAGUUGGAUCGGGUUGGCAGUUGGAGAGCUUGCUACUAUUCUUGGUGUUACAGACAAAUCUUGGAACCAUGUUGUUGUCUACCACGUCCAGGAGCUGAGUAAUAUUUUGCAUGUGCAAUGUUUUGUAUGGCACCUUUUACUUUGGCCAUCCAAUCGGGCAGGCUGCAUGGAUUCUCAUUACUUUUGGUGGGAACAUCAAUAACAUACACUAAUUGGAGGUUAAUGUUUACGUAGCAGUGAUGUUGCUGUCCAAUAUGGCAUGUUGCAGCCUAUACUGGUGAAAGAUUUUUUGCAUUGAGUUAAACUGUUGCUGUUCCUGGUGCUGGACUGCUGGUGUUGUGCAAAAAAGUUACAUCCAGUUUUAAUUGUUAUUUGUGUCCAUGCAGUUAACUGUUUAUAUGUUGAAAAGGAACAAAAACAGUUCCUUGGUGUUGAAUCGCUGGUGUUUUGCUACAGAAGUUACAUCCAGUAUUUUGUUUACUUGCUAUUUGCUCUAUGAAGUUAACCGUUUAUAUGUUGAGAAUGAAAAAAAAUAGUAAUACGGGGAAUUUUUACGUUGAACAAAUAAUAAACAUGCCUUCGCGAUUGGGAAACCAACGAGGAGGAGAUUGGGGGGGGGGUGGUAUUUGAUUUUCAUUAACUAGAAGUCGUAGUGGUUUAAUGAUGUAGAAAUAAAAUCCUUUAUUAAUCACAUCCAUAUACCAACCCAUGCAUCCACAUCUAUUCCACAAACCCCAUAUGUCUCCACCAACAUCAAUUCCUUAAACCCCAAUUUCCCCACAAAUGUUUGUUAUGUGUGUAUAAUAUUGUUGAAUAAAUAAACUAUAUAUGUAACAUGUAAAACCCAUUUGUAUUCUGGUACGUACAUAAAUUAAAAAAUUCAAUAAACAGAGCGUCCGGUUCUAGAUCAUUUUUUUGUGCGAGGCUUUUUAGCAAGCAAUCCGCCACCCAAUUUGACAAAAAGUGAUACAAAAAGUGAUAGUUUAUUUUGGCGGUAAGUGCGUCAGACGGUCAAAAAAUUUCUAGUUCAACAGUCUCAUGAAGAAAUUUGCAUCCAGUCUACUGGUGCAAAUCACGAUUCUUUCAGUUUGAUUAUUUAGGAGAUGUGUCAACAAACAUUGUGGGUAACCAAUAAAUCGAACUAAUCCUCUUUUCAGAAUACUUUGAUGUAUGGAUCACAAGAAAAUCUAAACACACAAAGUGAUCUAAAAGACUAAAACCACUUCAAGAUAUUCUGAAAAAGUGGAUUAGUUCUAUUUUUCGGUCUAACCACAAUUUUUGUUAACACACCUGAUAAAUAAUCAAAACGAAAGAAUCGUGAUUUGUACCAGUAGAAUAGAUACAAAGUUCUACGUGUGACUGUUAAAUUAGAAAUUGUUUUGACCGUCAGACG
Molecule: long non-coding RNA, 4738 nt
Organism: Daphnia pulicaria
Lineage: Eukaryota; Metazoa; Arthropoda; Branchiopoda; Diplostraca; Daphniidae
Exons: 13
Source: RefSeq, a predicted model, not a curated record